UGGGAGCAUGUGGUUUAAUCCCGAAGCAACGCGAAGAACCUUACCAGGUCUUCCCCCCUCUGAAAACCCUAGAGAUAGCCCUUCCCCUUCGGGAGCAGAGUGACAGGUGGUGCAUGGUUGUCGUCAGCUCGUGUCGUGAGAUGUUGGGUUAAGUCCCGCAACGAGCGCAACCCUUGAUCUUAGUUGCCAUCAUUAAGUUGGGCACUCUAAGGUGACUGCCGGUGACAAACCGGAGGAAGGUGGGGAUGACGUCAAAUCAUCAUCCCCUUAUGACCUGGGCUACACACGUGCUCCCCUCCCCCCCCCAAAGAGCUGCAAGCCCGCGAGGUGGAGCUAAUCUCAUAAAACCGUUCUCAGUUCGGCUUGUAGGCUGCAACAAGCCUACAA
This 387-nucleotide ribosomal RNA is filed under the name Bacillus sp. (in: firmicutes). RNAcentral describes it as "bacterial SSU rRNA". It matches the Rfam family "Bacterial small subunit ribosomal RNA", at positions 934 to 1321 of the family's 1533-position model. The record is from RNAcentral. Lineage: Bacteria; Bacillati; Bacillota; Bacilli; Caryophanales; Bacillaceae.